UGGGGAAUUUUGCACAAUGGGGGAAACCCUGAUGCAGCGACGCCGCGUGUUUUAGAAGGCCUUCGGGUUGUAAAAAUCUUUUGUAUGGGAAGAAAAUGACAGUACCAUACGAAUAAGGACCGGCUAAUUACGUGCCAGCAGCCGCGGUAAUACGUAAGGUCCGAGCGUUGUCCGGAAUCAUUGGGCGUAAAGGGUACGUAGGCGGAUAAGCAAGUUAGAAGUGAAAUCCUAUAGCUCAACUAUAGUAAGCUUUUAAAACUGCUCAUCUUGAGGUAUGGAAUGGAAAGUGGAAUUCCUAGUGUAGCGGUGAAAUGAGCAGGUAUUAGGAGGAAUACCGGUGGCGAAGGCGACUUUCUGGCCAUAAACUGACGCUGAGGUACGAAAGCGUGGGUAGCAAACAGG
Molecule: ribosomal RNA, 402 nt
Filed under: Verrucomicrobiota bacterium
Lineage: Bacteria; Pseudomonadati; Verrucomicrobiota
Description: Verrucomicrobia bacterium partial 16S ribosomal RNA
Rfam family: Bacterial small subunit ribosomal RNA
Source: RNAcentral